This 72-nucleotide transfer RNA is filed under the name Candidatus Micrarchaeum acidiphilum ARMAN-2. It matches the Rfam family "tRNA". From Rfam's summary of the family: Transfer RNA (tRNA) molecules are approximately 80 nucleotides in length. Their secondary structure includes four short double-helical elements and three loops (D, anti-codon, and T loops). Further hydrogen bonds mediate the characteristic L-shaped molecular structure. tRNAs have two regions of fundamental functional importance: the anti-codon, which is responsible for specific mRNA codon recognition, and the 3' end, to which the tRNAs corresponding amino acid is attached (by aminoacyl-tRNA synthetases). tRNAs cope with the degeneracy of the genetic code in two manners: having more than one tRNA (with a specific anti-codon) for a particular amino acid; and 'wobble' base-pairing, i.e. permitting non-standard base-pairing at the 3rd anti-codon position. The record is from Rfam by way of RNAcentral. Lineage: Archaea; Nanobdellati; Microcaldota; Candidatus Micrarchaeia; Candidatus Micrarchaeales; Candidatus Micrarchaeaceae. RNAcentral also lists the same sequence under 2 other names.
GCCCGAAUAGCUCAAUGGUAGAGCGAGCGGCUGUUAACCGCUAGGUUGCAGGUUCGAUCCCUGCUUCGGGCG